This is a long non-coding RNA of Parus major (Great Tit), 5715 nucleotides long. RefSeq lists it as uncharacterized. Lineage: Eukaryota; Metazoa; Chordata; Aves; Passeriformes; Paridae. The record is from RefSeq and is a predicted model, not a curated record. The transcript is spliced from 2 exons.
GGCCCGGCUGUGGCUGUGGCGCCCGUGAGGAGCCGGCGUGGGAGCCCGGCCCAAGGGAGCCCGGAAGCCGCCGGGACCUCCGACAGCGGACGGGCCGCGGAGGGGCCCGGCGGGCUCCGCUCAGGCCUCGUGUGAUGAAGGAGAGAGGGCGGGUGUCCGGCGACGGUGCCUUGUUGUGGUGCCGUGCGCCUUGGUAACCCUGCCUGGGCUAGGAUUAGCUGUCCUGUGGGUGCCGGCUCGUUUCGGUUUCCUGGCUGGUUGUUAACCAUUUUUUCCCGCUGGGUUUCUGUAUAUUCUGUGGCCGGUGUGCCCACUCGUGUUUGUGCCACCUUUUGCUAAUACAACGAUAAUGCUCUUUAUUUUGGACUUCAGUCAAGCGUAUGAGGUUUUUUCCUCCUUUAUUAUAUUUGUUGUGUUGUUGCUUAGCUGAUAGCCUCAGAGCAGGGGAAAAAAGUAAAUGAAGCUCGUUGUGGUCUUUUUCCUUUUCAGGAGUCACUUAAUAAAAUGGAUGGCACAACACAAGCAGUAAGGAAGAGAUCUUCUCUUUGUAGGGUUACUCAGGAAUCUGCCAAUGGAGAGAGGGGUCAGCAGUGAGAAGUGAUGCCUGCUUUCAGUCCUGAAGGCAGGAAGACAAAGUGGUCUCACCAUCAGCACGUGAAUGCAACUGCCUUCAUUUCAAAUCUGGAGAGCAGGUGGGUGUGGGUUUUAUUGGUACUGACAGUUUUAACCCUAACAACAACUGCUUUUGUUAACUGGUGGGAACAAGUUCUCCAUGGUAAAAAGAGAGCAAUUACAGUUUUUCACUAUGCUGCCUGGUAGACAGAUGCCAUUUUAAAUGUCCUGCUCCAAAGCUGUAUCCUUUUCUACUGUAAGAGUUCUCUCAGUAAAGAAAGAUUUGACCCGUGCAGGAAAAAAAAGUGUAGCAUAUUGUGUCCAUAUGUCUUGCCAGCUUGCUCCUUUGCUAGUUGGAGCAGGUAGAAGAGAGGAAUUUAAGUCCUUUUUCUCCAUCUUGCUAUCUCAGGUGGACCUCUUGGUUGUGCCCUAUCUGAUAAGUGGGGGUAAGGUAAGGUCUAAUUACUCUUAUGACCAAGACAUAUUUCAUCAGAAAGCAUUUUUGGAUGCCCUGAAUAGUGUUUUACAGUUGGGGUCCAAGUUGCUGUUGCCCUUAAGAAGCAAUCCUGCUUUUCACAGUUAAAUUUUUGCUGCAACUACCCUGUACCCUGUUCUGUCAACCAGCGUUGUUAGGCAGAUCAAAGAGGUAAAAUGGCCACAAACUAAUCCAGCUGAGACACAGCUAUUUUUUCAGACAUGUGCAACAGUAGUACAGAAAAAUGGUGGGAAAGGAUGGCCCUUAUGUGAAGGAAGCUUGCAGACAGAUUGGCUCACUGUGAUCCUGGAAGCAUGCCUUUAGUAUUUCCCUGGGUCUGUGGGUGAAAGUCAUUCCUAAUUAGAUCUGUUUUAUUGGAAUGCUCUCAGCCGUAGCUGUGCUGCUGUAGGACCUGUCUGGGCUGCUGCUGAAGCCCCACGUUCUGCUCUGUGGUUGAGCUGUGCAUCCAGGCAGGUGGCAGCACGUACUUCAGAGAUGACCAACUUGGGAGCACACAGCAAGUAGAGACUUUAAGCUACGUAAUGACUUUAAGCAGUUAAUUUCUCUCUGUUGCCACGUAGUGGUGAUGUUGGUUGUUGCCUUCAAGGAGCUUUGGACUUCUGCUGCUGAGGGCAUGUGACAGGUAAGUUGGCAAUAAGGGUCUUACAGACCUGUACCUAUAGGUGACUUUCUCCAGAGCUGCAUGGUUUAUCCAGUUAUCCACAUGGUGGUGUUUGCUUCUGUUUAUCCUCCAUUUUCCAUGUACACAUUCCUACACCUCAGCAGGAUCAGCUAAUCAACAACAGGAGCUGUUUUCCUAGGAAUAACUGACAAAAUGUAAUACAUUUUAAGGGUAGCAUGCUGCCAGUAUCCCCUUUUGAGUCUACUCUGUUGUCAUCCUAGGUUAUUCUAUAUCUAGAAGAUUUUCCUAUCCCAUCUUUAUCACAUCAAAGGCUUGGUUUGAUCCUCCAAUGAUCCUGUUUCCAUGAUGAAUCCCUAAUGUGUCAGGUUUUUAUCAUUAUCUUAUUUUAUGCUGAUAAGCAGACAUGGAGGAUAGAUCAUUCAGAAGAAUGUGUGUAUAAAUGAGAUCAAUAGCACUGUAAAAUCCUCUCCACCAGAUCUUGGUCAUGAGCAUGAGUGUGAUCUAGGCCUUAACAAAAUUUAUAUAGCAUAUGUAAAUACACAUUCACUGUCAGGACAGUUUACAGAACAACUGAUUUAAAUAUGUUAAAUAAAAUCUGGUUUUCCUCCACUUGGCUGUGUCCAGUACUACAAACUCAGAUUUACUGAGUCACUGAGUUCCUGAGUCUUAAAUUCUGUUGCUGAAGUUUUUAUGGUUUUUUUUCACAGCAAAUCAGAAAAGAAAAAUGGGAAAUCAAGAUUAUUGUAUAUUUUCAAGAUUUAGCUAAGAUGAGAAGGAAAGCUUGAGUAAGACUAGUGUAAUAUUCUAGAGUAUUUUCCUUUUAGGAAUUGGAUAAAGGGAAGUGAUGUCUCUACACUGUUUUAUGCAAAUAGAUUACUGACUGUCACUCUAAGUUCAUGCUCAACAUCAGUAGAGAAGCUGUUACUCUAGAAGUUUAUAAAUGUUCAACCUUUAUUGUUUGUUUUGUAAUCUUUGUUUCUUAACAGCUUGUCCUUGUCUUUGUUUUUUAUCAAACUGGUCAUCUCAUUACUCUGUGAUUAAAUGGAUGACUUUGUCCUGUAAGCUGCCUGGCAAAACCGGGCAUAUUUUGAUACAAGCUGGGUUUGUUUCAGAUUUACAUCUGUGUACAUGGCAUUUCUUCUGUGAACCACUUCAGGUAUGGAUUCAUUAAUAGUUGUUCACAACAAAAAACCUCAGGCAUUUUAGUCUUUUUUUUUUUUUUUUGUAGUGAGGAGGAAAACAACUGAGUAGAAGGAAAAGCAUUAAAACUAAAUUUCUCUCUCCAUGCUCUGUUCCAACAUGACAUUAGGUGCAGUAGUCAGUGUUGGGCAGUACUGGGCUGUGGUUGCUCAGUGCCAGAAUUUUACAUAGCUCUGAACACGUUUGGGUGGAAAGGGGAGGUCCAGCUCUCACAAUCACUUUUUUUUCCACAGCCUGCGUGAUCAUCUUGACAGGUCACUGAUUCUGUUGCACCACACUCUGUUGGGCUGUGUGUGUGCAGGGUUUCCAUACUCAGCCUGUGAGGCGUGGAAGAAGGUGGCAGUCCAAUCUAUGAGUCAAUUUUUGGAGGUGUGGAAGAGGAGUCAGUGAAGGAACAUAAAAAGGUGAAGAUUGGGGAAUGGAAUGUUUGGCGUUGGUUUUAAUUAGAAACAUCCUGUUCAUCACUCAUAUGUGAGAUAAAAAGGGAAGAAUAUCCAGUAAUAGUACACUGAAAGAGGAAAUAUCUGUAUUUUAGUGAGCAAUUCUAAUGAAGCUGCCAAGUAUAAUUGAAUUGAAAUACAGACCCUAUUCCAACAAUAUUUGCCUUAUUGUAGUGUAUUGAGUGAGAGUCAACUGGCAUUGUAUUUAUUCCUAAUCUUUCUGCAGCUGAUGACUUUUGUCUAAAAUCCAAAGUACUUCAGCACUCAGUAUUAAACUUAGAAAUUUCCUCUAUCAGCUAAAAGAUAAAUACAGCUCAACCAACAAACCUUUCUUUCAUAAACCCGAGGCUUCUUGUACCUGUCCAAUCAAAAUGGUACAAAGAUGGCUCUUGUACUGUGACCUAGAAGAGCAAGUGUGUAAAACAGAGGAGGAAGCUGAUACUUGCAAAGCUCAGAGCUGAAGGUUCUUUUGGUUUGGGCUGUGGGGGGGCUUUGUUCUUGCCAAGGAGGAACCAACCACUGAACUCCUCUGCUCACGUUCUCCUGGGUGUGGUGCUGUGAUUCGAUGAGAGAGGUAUGUGCUGCCCGUGACUGCAGCUAAUCACCUAGAGUGACCUCUGCUCUCCCUUCCAGCAAACCAGCUGCACUGAGACUGUUACUGGAAAUUAGAUUAAAAUCUGCUGCUCCUGGAUUUGGUUAAUUAGCUGACAGUACCUUUAAAAUAAUUUUUAGAGCAUUUGGACAGUGAUGUGAAACAUGCAUCACUUUCAAGGCUUAAAGCUUAAUAAAUUAAGUGAAACAAUCUGAGAUCCUUCCACAUGUCAAAGGGAAGAGUUUAAGAGGUUUAAAUUCAGAGUGUUCUACAUUAUAAAACUUAACAAAUAUCAAUAUAAAUGGGUACAAGUAGUCCUUCCACCCUCUGGAUGAUACAAAAGACUUUCCUCACUUUCAAUGAAUGUAUCUAUGUAGACUGAAGCUUCCUCUGAACCAAAUUUUUUUUUGGAUUCUGAUUAAAAAACAUGUGAAGAGAUGUUGCAGAGUAAAUAACUUUGAAUUACCAUAAAGCUGUGACAUAUCAUACCUAAAAAUAGUGGUAGAGAAAACUCUUAAUUUCUAAAAUUUUUCUAAAAUAUACAGAGACAUUUUUGACAUUCCAUUCAGGUCAUCAAAUUGUAACAAGCUAUCAUACUACAGUGUAAGACAUAAAUUUUAAAAGAAUGAGAAGUGCAGGAAGUUUGAAUGAUGCAUGACCGUAAAUUUACUCAUCUUUUAUAUAAUGCCUUCUUGAGGUGCUGACAUCUUCAGUACAUUAAUUGUUCAUAAUGAAUACUCUUGCAUAAAACAUUCAAAGGUAAUUUUCUGAGGCCAAAGAAUGACUAAAAAGUUAUUCACUAAAGACCAAUCAAUAAUCUGUAUCCAAAAGAACACUCAUGGGAUGUGAAAUAAACUGAUGUAACAGGUAGAGAAGUUUGCAUAUAUAAAAUAAUCUGCCCUUUUUAUAGGUUUGAUGCCCUAAAACAGAAGCCACAGAAUUGGGUGAACUGGUGUAGAGGCAAAACCAUUAUGUUCUAAUCAUGUUUCAUUGAGGGCAAAAGGAAAAAAAACAGUGUUGGGCAAAAUAUCCAUAUCUGUUGUGGCAGAGAUCCAGGAGAUGGCCACCUCUGCUGCAGGUAAUACACGAUUGCUUUUGUGCUGCAUACUUCAGGAUGGAUAAUAAUAAUCAUGGAAAAUAUGUUUAAAGAAUAUACUAAAAUAUCAGGAAAAUAAAUUAAUUGGUCUAUCAGGCUUCUUCCAGGCAAUAGAUUUUUAGCAACUUGUCAAAUAUUUCUUGGCUGUUCUACCCUCACAUAAGAUCUUUCCCUGGUUCAUAAAGAAAAUUAAUGUGAAAUCAAUAAUGGUGUUUAAAAAUUCACCAAGCACUUCCCAUCCAGUGAAAGUCUCACUUUCAGAGUGCCACUAAUGCAACAGGCAGAGUGGGAAAACCACACAGACUUGACCUUAGUGGUUAAAACAGAAGCCAGUGCAGAUGGAAAGUGCAGUGAAGAGAUGCUUUCAGAAACAACCAGAAGAACCUGCCUGCUUCCUCACAAGAACAAACCUCUAAAAAGAGCCACUGUGAGCAUCAGCUUGCAAAAGUACUGUUUGAAGAUGCAGUCAAGAUGCUAUGCUGACUUCCUGCUAGAAGAUAUAAAGUGUCCUGAACAGCAACAACAAAACCAAAAACCAAAAACAACAACAAACCCAACCAGCCAAAAAAAAAAAAAAUCACGUAAGAGUGAAAACCACAACAGAAAAAAAAAAAGUCUCCUCUAGCACCAUCCAACCCUCUAAGCUGCUGGAUUUCA